AGUAGGGAAUAUUGGUCAAUGGAUGGAAGUCUGAACCAGCCAUGCCGCGUGCAGGAAGAAGGCCUUCUGGGUUGUAAACUGCUUUUGCCAGGGGAUAAAAAUUCUUUGCGAAGAAAAUUGAAGGUACCUGGUGAAUAAGCACCGGCUAACUACGUGCCAGCAGCCGCGGUAAUACGUAGGGUGCAAGCGUUGUCCGGAUUUAUUGGGUUUAAAGGGUGCGUAGGCGGCCUUGUAAGUCAGUGGUGAAAUACUCCAGCUUAACUGGAGGGGUGCCAUUGAUACUGCAGGGCUUGAGUUAAGUUGAAGUUGGCGGAAUUGACGGUGUAGCGGUGAAAUGCUUAGAUAUCGUCAAGAACACCGAUAGUGAAGACAGCUAACUAAACUUUUACUGACGCUGAGGCACGAAAGUGUGGGGAUCAAA
This 421-nucleotide ribosomal RNA is filed under the name uncultured Cytophagaceae bacterium. Its description in RNAcentral is "bacterial SSU rRNA". It matches the Rfam family "Bacterial small subunit ribosomal RNA", at positions 353 to 772 of the family's 1533-position model. The record is from RNAcentral. Lineage: Bacteria; Pseudomonadati; Bacteroidota; Cytophagia; Cytophagales; Cytophagaceae.